This 301-nucleotide ribosomal RNA is filed under the name uncultured bacterium. RNAcentral describes it as "partial 16S ribosomal RNA". It matches the Rfam family "Bacterial small subunit ribosomal RNA", at positions 509 to 809 of the family's 1533-position model. The record is from RNAcentral.
CAGCAGCCGCGGUAAAACAGAGGGUGCGAGCGUUAAUCGGAUUUACUGGGCGUAAAGCGUGCGUAGGCGGCUUCUUAAGUCGGAUGUGAAAUCCCUGAGCUUAACUUAGGAAUUGCAUUCGAUACUGGGAAGCUAGAGUAUGGGAGAGGAUGGUAGAAUUCCAGGUGUAGCGGUGAAAUGCGUAGAGAUCUGGAGGAAUACCGAUGGCGAAGGCAGCCAUCUGGCCUAAUACUGACGCUGUGGUACGAAAGCAUGGGGAGCAAACAGGAUUAGAUACCCGUGUAGUCCCUGUCUCUUAUAU